Molecule: ribosomal RNA, 391 nt
Filed under: uncultured bacterium
Lineage: Bacteria
Description: bacterial SSU rRNA
Rfam family: Bacterial small subunit ribosomal RNA
Source: RNAcentral
AACGAACGCUGGCGGCGCGCCUAAUACAUGCAAGUCGAGCGAGAAGACGUAGCAAUACGUUUGUAAAGCGGCGAACGGGUGAGGAAUACAUGGGUAACCUACCCUCGAGUGGGGAUAACUAGCCGAAAGGUUAGCUAAUACCGCGUACGCUCCUUGGACUUCGGUUCAGGGAGGAAAGCGAUACCGUGGGUAUCGCGCUCUUGGAUGGGCUCAUGUCCUAUCAGCUUGUUGGUGAGGUAACGGCUCACCAAGGCUUCGACGGGUAGCUGGUCUGAGAGGACGAUCAGCCACACUGGCACUGCGACACGGGCCAGACUCCUACGGGAGGCAGCAGUAAGGAAUAUUGCGCAAUGGGCGAAAGCCUGACGCAGCGACGCCGGCGGGGGNGGGA